ACACUGACGACAUGGUUCUACACCUGAGAAACGGCUACCACAUCUAAGGAAGGCAGCAGGCACGCAAAUUACCCACUCCCAGCUCGGGGAGGUAGUGACGAAAAAUAACGAUGCGGGACUCAUCUGAGGCUUCGCAAUCGGAAUGAGUUCUACUUUAAAUCCUUGUACGAGGAUCUAUUGGAGGGCAAGUCUGGUGCCAGCAGCCGCGGUAAUUCCAGCUCCAAUAGCGUAUAUUAAGUUGCUGCGGUUAAAAAGCUCGUAGUUGGAUUCUCAUUCUGGGUGGACGGUUCGCUUUC
Molecule: ribosomal RNA, 296 nt
Filed under: Albunea catherinae
Lineage: Eukaryota; Metazoa; Arthropoda; Malacostraca; Decapoda; Albuneidae
Description: partial 18S ribosomal RNA
Rfam family: Eukaryotic small subunit ribosomal RNA
Source: RNAcentral